CCUACGGGAGGCAGCAGUGGGGGAUAUUGCACAAUGGGGGAAACCCUGAUGCAGCAACGCCGCGUGUGGGAAGAAGGUUUUCGGAUUGUAAACCUCUGUUCUUGGUGAAGAUAAUGAUGGUAAUCACGUAGUAAGCUCCGGCUAAUUACGUGCCAGCAGCAGCGGUAUUACGUAGGGAGCAAGCGUUGUACGGAUUGACUGGGUGUAAUGGGUGCGUAGGCGGUCUUGCAAGUCAGACGUGAAAACAAUAGGCUCAACCUGAGGACUGCGUUGGAAACUGUGGGACUUGAGUGAAGUAGCGGUAGGCGGAAGUCCCGGUGUAGCGGUGAAAUGCGUAGAGAUCGGGAGGAACACCAGUGGCGAAGGCGGCCUACUGGGCUUUAACGGACGCUGAGGCACGAAAGCAUGGGUAGCAAACAGGAUUAGAUACCCGAGUAGUC
RNAcentral lists this ribosomal RNA (440 nucleotides) under uncultured bacterium. RNAcentral describes it as "partial 16S ribosomal RNA". It matches the Rfam family "Bacterial small subunit ribosomal RNA", at positions 338 to 795 of the family's 1533-position model. The record is from RNAcentral.